Molecule: ribosomal RNA, 765 nt
Filed under: Uperoleia martini (coastal toadlet)
Lineage: Eukaryota; Metazoa; Chordata; Amphibia; Anura; Myobatrachidae
Description: partial 16S ribosomal RNA
Rfam family: Bacterial large subunit ribosomal RNA
Source: RNAcentral
CCCUCCCCCAGUACUGAGCGAUUCUAUGUUCUCAUAGAACUCCUUAUGCUAAAAUUAGUAACGCGAAGAACCCUUCUCUACGAUUCAAGCAUAAAUCAGAACGGACCCGCCACUGAUAAUUAACGCUCAUGAACAAACAGCAGUAACCCAACAAGAAAACCCUGCCCACACCUACGUUAAUCUAACACAAGAGAAUCCCGAGAAAGAUUAAAAAAAGCGGAAGGAACUCGGCAAAACUCAGCCCCGCCUGUUUACCAAAAACAUCGCCUCUUGCCCCCCAUAAGAGGUCUAGCCUGCCCAGUGACCCAAUUUUAACGGCCGCGGUAUCCUGACCGUGCGAAGGUAGCGUAAUCACUUGUUCUUUAAAUAAGGACUGGUAUGAACGGCAUCACGAAGGCUGUACUGUCUCCCGCCUUUAAUCAGUGAAAUUAAUCUCCCCGUGAAGAAGCGGGGAUAAAAUCAUAAGACGAGAAGACCCCAUGGAGCUUUAAACAAAGGGCAUUUACUAACCUUUAACAAAAGUUAAGCAUCAUGGCCCCUAGUUUUCGGUUGGGGCGACCGCGGAGAAUAACCCACCCUCCAUGCUGAAAGAUACUAUCUUAGCCUAAAACAACCCAUUUAAGCAUUAGAAUUCUAACACCCAUUGACCCAAUACACUUGAUCAACGAACCAAGUUACCCUGGGGAUAACAGCGCAAUCCACUUCAAGAGCCCCUAUCGACAGGUGGGUUUACGACCUCGAUGUUGGAUCAGGGUACCCAAGUGG